AUAUUUACAUUUGCAAAUGUUUUCCUUUAUAUAACACUACUGAAAGCAAGCGGUUUUAUAACUGUAUAAAUACAGGUACGGGGUCAAGAGGUCAUAGAUGUUCGUAUGGAUAAACGUUCGACGUAAUUUCUCUGUGACGUCAUAAAGGGUCGACGCGCGUUCAGUGGAUUACAUACAUGCCGUGGGGUUUAAAAAAUAAUGCAUUUCACACGUUAAAAGUCACAAUCAGGCAAAUUUAAAGUAUGAAUAAGUCACAAAUGUAAAUAUAAGUAAUAAGGUAUCAUUUUUUGAGUCCCUUCGGGCUUUAUGGGAUUUGAUCACGUGACCAACCCGUUUUACAUCCCAAUAACACUCAAAAAAUGAUACCUUAUUUCUUAA
Long non-coding RNA from Saccostrea cuccullata (small rock oyster), 378 nucleotides. RefSeq lists it as uncharacterized. The transcript is spliced from 2 exons. The record is from RefSeq and is a predicted model, not a curated record. Lineage: Eukaryota; Metazoa; Mollusca; Bivalvia; Ostreida; Ostreidae.